UACGGGGGGGGUAAGCGUUGUUCGGAAUUACUGGGCGUAAAGGGCUCGUAGGCGGCCAACUAAGUCAGACGUGAAAUCCCUCAGCUUAACUGGGGAACUGCGUCUGAUACUGGAUGGCUUGGAUUUGGGAGAGGGAUGCGGAAUUCCAGGUGUAGCGGUGAAAUGCGUAGAUAUCUGGAGGAACACCGGUGGCGAAAGCGGCUUACUGGGUCUCAACUGACGCUGAUGCACGAAAGCUAGGGUAGCAAACGGG
This 253-nucleotide ribosomal RNA is filed under the name uncultured bacterium. Its description in RNAcentral is "partial 16S ribosomal RNA". It matches the Rfam family "Bacterial small subunit ribosomal RNA", at positions 524 to 776 of the family's 1533-position model. The record is from RNAcentral.